This 563-nucleotide long non-coding RNA is filed under the name Sinocyclocheilus anshuiensis. Its description in RNAcentral is "lncRNA (ENSSANG00000006447.1)". The record is from RNAcentral. Lineage: Eukaryota; Metazoa; Chordata; Actinopteri; Cypriniformes; Cyprinidae.
GGAAAAGGAGCGAGAUCUGGAGGAGAGGGAGAUACUGGCUGAGCUCUCCAGUCCUCCUGCCUUACAGUGGAAGCCUGGUGCAGGUAAGGGCCGCGGGAAGAGAAAGAAGGGAGUGUCUCCUGUCCACCCACCACUUCUCCUCAUUCAGGACCCUCAGCACUGAACCGUCUACAGGAGCGGGUUUCAUCUCUCCUGCUUCGUUCCAGAUCCCCCUAUCCACCAACACCAACCCUAUCCCCCUCCGCCCUUCCUCUUCAUCCUCACGCCCCCCUCUGGGACAAAAGUGCUCUUCACGGAGGAGGACCAGAUUCAGUUUCAGAGUUCUACACCUCUGAACUAAGCAACUUCAUACAGCCAUGGGUUGCACCGGAGAGGGAAAAGGUCAAAUCUCUUGAAUUAACUCCAAACAAGAAACCUCAAGCUGUGACCUUAGAGGCUGAUUCAGUCCUGGAAAAGCUUUCAGAUCAGAGCCCAGCAAAACACCAAACUACCCGACCUCCCACCCCCUGUUCGGGUACACCAGGCUCCCAGGCUCUGCAGGACCUGAUUGAGCUUGCAGAGGA